ACUUCCAUAUGCCGCAGAUGUGGCCCUGAAAAAGAAAAAAAGGUUAUGUUGACACUGCACUGUAGUCUAGUAAGUGUGCAAUAGCAUUUUGUCUAAAAAAGCAAUGUGCAUACCUUAAUUAAAAAUACUUUACUGCCAAAAAAUGCUAACCAUUAUCUGAGCCUUUAAUGGGUUGCAGUAGCAACCUCCAAGAUCACCAAUUACGGUUCACUGUAAUAAAUAUAAUAAUGAUGAAAAGAUUUGAAAUAUUGUGAGAAUUGCUAAAAAAUGUGACACAGAGACAUGAAGUGAAUAAAUGCUGGAAAAUGGUGCCAACACAUUUGCUCAAUGUGGGGCUGCCACAACCUUCAAUUUGAAAAAGCAUGAUAUCUGAAAAGUGCAAUAAAGCAAAGUGCAAUGAAACAAGGUAUGCUUAUAAUAUAUAUGUUUGCAUUUGCAUACAAAGCCCAGGGGCGGAAAGUGGUACCAUCUGUGGUCCCCAGAGGAAGAAAAAUGGUCUCAGUUGCCUAAUAUGAAGAGUAAUGGAGAUUGGAUCCGAGCUCCCAACACAGCCCUCUCAAGAUCUUUCCAAAUUGUCUUUCCGCACAGUGAAGACACCCAGAAAAGGAGGGUGCUGCCUUUUCAGAGCUAGAAUGACAACACUAAAGGGCCCUGGAACUGGUCUGGCCACCAGGGGCUUUCUGAUCUCCCAGGUGCCCAUCUUUUGCUCCAGUCAGUCCGUUUGACAUCGGCUGGAACAGCUGAAGGGCUGGCGUAGGCAUCCAGAGGUAAAGGCCCUGGGGCUGGGACUCCUUGCUGACAAGACAAGAGCGAUGCUGCUGCCUCCCUGGAAGGGGAAUCGUGAACCCGGCCGAGAGGACGUGCUGGCUGCACAGGUUUGCCUGCUACCGGAGCCAGCGCAGUUGGUCGCAGGGAAUUUGAUGAAAAUAAUCAGCUGCAAACUGCUAAAAAACAAACAGACUACAAUCCAGAGGUUUAAUAACAGCCCCCUCAGCCAGAUGGCCGCAGGAGCCUUGCCAGGGAGAAAAAAAAAAAAAAAAAAAGAUCUCCCACCCUGAAUUUCCUCUUUGUUCUGGACCCUGCUCUCUUUGGAUGUCAUUGGUCUCCCGCCCCUUUCGUGCGCCAGCCACCCAGAGUCUUGUGUUCAGGGAGCUUAAGGCAGCUUUCCCCAGAUUAGGAUUUGGGGACAGGGAAUCCGGCAAAGAAGCGGCUUUCUUGUCCCAACAUGAGUCACCCUAAGUUGGAGAAAGCACACAGCUGUCUGCAUCUGGACCUGGAAUGCUGCUUCCUCCUCGGAGGAUGCUCCCAACAAGCCCGGGGCCCUUGUGGGUGCAGAGCAGGAAGUCAUAAGCAGGGCUGCCCUGUGUGGGGCAAGCCCUCUGGACACCUCAGUUCUCGCCAAGAGACCAUCAUGUCCCAGCUCUUGGGAAACUGAAUGCUAGUCUGUUUCCAUGUUCAGUUACAGCCACGCCUGGAGCAAAUGGUGGCCAGUGUGUUCUGCCAAACUCAGGCUCCAGUAAAAGCAUGGAUGUGAGAGUGAAGCCAAUGUGAGUUUGAAUCCUUGCUCUGCCACUGUGUGACCCUGACAACUUCUUUGACCUCUCUGAAGUUGCUACAUCAUUGCGUUUUAGUGAGAAUAAUAAAGAAAUGAUAUUUUCAAUGCAUGUAGCACACUAGCACACAGCAGGCAUUCUAUAAACAUUGAUUUUCCACACUCUUAGCCCUCUGGUUCAGAGCUUUGUGGUACUAAUUUUUCCUAUUACCCACUCCUUAAUACUUUCACUGAUCCAUGAUUUAAUAUUUCAUUCUUGGCUUUUGGCAAAGCUUCCAGGUACACUCCUGUCCCAUUUUUUCCCUGAGCCGAUUCCCAUCUCUCCUUUGUGGUUACGUUAGCUACUCUGUUUGCCAGUAUGUAUUUUGAUGUGCUAAGUUAUUACUAAUUCUGUUUGGAAGGAGACUAGGUAGACGUGAAGUUCAUCAGGCUCAUUUAACUUACAAGUUUACUUAAAACUUUCCUCCUCCUGUAAGAAGUAAUGCUAAUUUAAAAAAACCUUAACAAAGAAAUAUAUGAAUAUGUUUUAAGAUUAUAAAGCAUAGUAGUCAGGAUCAGCUGGAUUUUGCUGCUGUAACACACACCUCCCAAAUAUAAAUGGCUUGAAACAGCAAAGGUUCCUUUCCCCCUCAAGCUACAAAUCCAUUGUAAGUCGGGAGAGUCUCAGCCCAGCACUGCCCUCUCUUAGAUACUCAAGGUUCACCCUCUGCAAUGUUGUUGGCCCCUGCAGCUGUGGGGAGGAGGAGAUGAAGGGUUCCUUAGCACUUAGCUCUUAGCAGAACUGCCAGGUAGUAACACACAUCACUUCAAAUUUCAUUGGCUAGAGCAAGUCACACGGUCUCACCUAACCUCAAGGGAACAGGCACAUCCAAUCCUAUUGUGUUCAAGGUGGGAGAUAAUUGAUGAACACUAACGUCAACCACUUGGAAGCUCAAUGUUUUAGGAAGAAUGAAGGUAACCCUGCAGGCAGGCAGAAUGCCAAAAUUCCACCCCUGCCAUCCACCACUAGGGAUUUGCUAGUCAUUUGAAAAUCAGAAUAUGCCCAGAUAUUUGCAUAAAGAAGUUCCUUUUGUCCCCUCCUUCAUUCUUUGGUCCUCAAUUUCCAGUGUGCCUAAGAAUUACUAUCUGACAUUGCAUAGCAUCGUAUAUGCCAUCCUAAAGGGUUUUCAAAUGUUUUAGACAUACACAGUUCUCCCUGUCUGAAUUUAGAACCUGACCUAUUUAGUAUGUGAUGCUGUAGUAUUUGAUUAAUACUAAUGCCUGACUUUAUUGUUUUUUUAAGCUACUUUAUUGAAGUAUGAUUGACAUACAGAGAACACUAUAAUUGAAUGUCUACCAUCUGACGAGUUUGGAGAUGGAGAAACCGAGGGUCAAAGGGACUAAGCAAGCUGCCCGAGGCUACACAGCCCUCCAGGAUUCCAAUCCAGUGUCAGAACUGAAUUGAAUUGUAGGUCACCCAGCUGGUGGCAGAGAGUUGCUUGGUGGUGUGGGGGAACCCACCCCUCCCAACAUACAUCCACACUUCGGAAGUUGGUAUGAGUAUCUUUACAGCAUCAAAUAGCUUCACCCGUGCAUCUCAGUGGAGCCUCUCAAUACUGUGAAAGGGUAUUUUCUUGGGCAAGCUUCCCAGAAGGGGAUUAUGGAGUCGGAGUGUAUGAACAUUUUUAUGGCUUCAAAGUAUCUUUUGAAGAAGGCCACAGGCAGCUAUUGGAAUUGGGGGUCUGAAGAGCCAGCUCCCACCAAACAGCAAGUCGUCCACAUCAGCAAUCACCUAUCUUGGCGAAUGUUAUUUGUGAGGCACAGAUUGCAUGUUGGGGUUCACCUGGACUCACUAGCGGAAACUUACAUCACCCAUGGAAGUGCCAUGACACUCCAGCCACUUCUCACAUGAAGGUGAAAAACUCCCAGCUGUCUUCCCAUAUAUCCCUGGAUAACGAGGUAGGUGAACAGAGUUCUCAAUAGAGCCUGGGUGCCUUACUGAGUCAGUGGAGCACCGUGGAAUGUGCGUGGAAUAUGCAUGGGAGGCCAGAAGACCCAAGUUCAAAUUCCAGCUCUGCCCUUCAUAAACUUAAUGGUCUUGAGAAACUCCGCAACCUUAACCCUUCUGAGCUUCAGUUUUCUCAUCUCUGAAAGGUAUAGUAAGAUGCGCUCUGCCACCCACUGGGUUGUUGUAAUGAUGUUACGAGAUAGGUGGUAAAGAAGCUAGGAAGGCCCCUACCUACGUGGGUCAUCAUAAUCUUGUUUAAAUUGUAAGAAUACAGACCCGCUCACGCCAGCGCAAACCAAAGUUUUACUUUUUCAGCUUUUUGAAAGUGGGAAACGUAUGAAAUCUCACAUGUUAGAAUGGGAGCCCUGGCCGGGCUGAGCUCCCCAGGGCACAGAGCAGUGUGGGGAGGGUUGGGGGAGGUGUCUGAAUUCUUGGUGGCACUGGGACCCUGAAGAGGCUGUGUGGUGCUGUUCUUCAGGGCUCUACAUGUGAGAGCACUGAGUCACCAGAUCUAGGAACCAUAAAGCAAGUUAGGGAGGGAUUGUGCAUGCAGAGCCGGGGGGAGGGCCACAUUUUCUGAAAGCGCUGUCGUUUCGACCAUUUAAGGUAAUAUGUUGAUAUGGCGGUUGUUAAGAAUGUGGAGAAAAUAUUAGAAGCAGCAGUCAGAAGAAGGGGUGAGCUCACUUAGUUUGUGACUGCCUUUGGUGGUCAGGAGGUAUCAAAGGGUGGCUGAUUAUCCCACCAGCCAGUGUCACAGCUCCAUUCCUCGAGCCUGGCCCUGCCCUGGGCCUCCUGGCUGGCAUCUAUUUCUUGUACUUCUCCCCCAUGUUAGAACCCGGCCUUGCUUGCACAUGGUGGCAGGGAAGUUUGGGAUUGAUUUGGAGAACCAGGCUGUCCUCUGACAUAGGUGCCAGGCUGUGCUUCAGAAAAGGUGAGACAUACUCUCUUUUGACCAAAAUCAGGGUCCUCAGCCCCACCACCAUCCCCUCCACUGUGCCAGUUCCACUUUCCAUCAUGAUGCAGGAACCUUUGAAUGGUUGGAGCCACAUCCCUUCCCACUGUGGGGAAAUGCAAAAUACAUGGGCUCCCUGGCUCAGAGCAGGACUCUGUGAAAACCUCAGGCCUCAGUGAUGGAUAAGUGUGUGUCUCUCUUUGGGCAUCUCUUUAGGAGACAAAAGGGGACAAGUUUAGUUCAUCAGAAGUCACUGGGGCUUUCCCUUUAGCCUUGAAAUUUACUAAAUCAAGUAGCGUGGGCAGAGAGCAGACAAAUGGUUCUUAAGGUGAAAUUCACUCGAUGUUCCACCACUAGAGCUGAUUAAGAGUUUCGAAAUGAUCAUACCCAGUGUGGGUUGUGGCUCACUUGUAGGGCAUCAAUUUUU
Molecule: non-coding RNA, 4918 nt
Organism: Sus scrofa (pig)
Lineage: Eukaryota; Metazoa; Chordata; Mammalia; Artiodactyla; Suidae
Source: RefSeq, a predicted model, not a curated record